UUUAACUGAAGAGUUUGAUCAUGGCUCAGAUUGAACGCUGGCGGCAGGCUUAACACAUGCAAGUCGAGCGGGGGAAGGUAGCUUGCUACCGGACCUAGCGGCGGACGGGUGAGUAAUGCUUAGGAAUCUGCCUAUUAGUGGGGGACAACAUCUCGAAAGGGAUGCUAAUACCGCAUMCGUC
RNAcentral lists this ribosomal RNA (181 nucleotides) under Acinetobacter baumannii. Its description in RNAcentral is "partial 16S ribosomal RNA". It matches the Rfam family "Bacterial small subunit ribosomal RNA", at positions 1 to 179 of the family's 1533-position model. Lineage: Bacteria; Pseudomonadati; Pseudomonadota; Gammaproteobacteria; Moraxellales; Moraxellaceae. The record is from RNAcentral.